RNAcentral lists this ribosomal RNA (494 nucleotides) under uncultured bacterium. Its description in RNAcentral is "partial 16S ribosomal RNA". It matches the Rfam family "Bacterial small subunit ribosomal RNA", at positions 28 to 507 of the family's 1533-position model. The record is from RNAcentral.
GACGAACGCUGGCGGCGUGCUUAACGCAUGCAAGUCGAGCGGUGAAGCGCCUUCCUUUUUGGUGGGAGUGGAUGAGUGGCGAACGGGUGAGUAACACGUGAGUAACCUGCCCCCUUCUUCUGGAUAACCGCAUGAAAGUGUGGCUAAUACGGGAUAUUCUGGGUCUGUCGCAUGAUGGGUCUGGGAAAGAUAUUGUUUCGGUGGGGGAUGGGCUCGCGGCCUAUCAGCUUGUUGGUGGGGUGAUGGCCUACCAAGGCGGUGACGGGUAGCCGGCCUGAGAGGGUGGACGGUCACACUGGGACUGAGACACGGCCCAGACUCCUACGGGAGGCAGCAGUGGGGAAUAUUGCACAAUGGGCGCAAGCCUGAUGCAGCGACGCCGCGUGAGGGAUGGAGGCCUUCGGGUUGUGAACCUCUUUCGCCAGUGAAGCAGGCCUGCCUCGUUUGUGGGUGGGUUGACGGUAGCUGGAUAAGAAGCGCCGGCUAACUACGUG